GACGAACGCUGGCGGCGUGCUUAACACAUGCAAGUCGAACGGUAAGGCCCUUCGGGGUACACGAGUGGCGAACGGGUGAGUAACACGUGGGUGAUCUGCCCUGCACUUCGGGCUAAGCCUGGGAAACUGGGUCCAAUACCGGAUAGGACCCUGGGAUGCAUGUCCUGGGGUGGAAAGCUCUUGCGGUGUGGGAUGGGCCCGCGGCCGAUCAGCUUGUUGGUGGGGUGAUGGCCUACCAAGGCGACGACGGGUAGCCGGCCUGAGAGGGUGACCGGCCACACUGGGACUGAGAUACGGCCCAGACUCCUACGGGAGGCAGCAGUGGGGAAUAUUGCACAAUGGGCGCAAGCCUGAUGCAGCGACGCCGCGUGAGGGAUGACGGCCUUCGGGUUGUAAACCUCUUUCAGCACCGACGAAGCGCAAGUGACGGUAGGUGCAGAAGAAGGACCGGCCAACUACGUGCCAGCCGCCGCAGUAA
Molecule: ribosomal RNA, 478 nt
Filed under: uncultured bacterium
Lineage: Bacteria
Description: partial 16S ribosomal RNA
Rfam family: Bacterial small subunit ribosomal RNA
Source: RNAcentral